AAAAAUUUGGGCAAGUCUGGUGCCAGCAGCCCGCGGUAAUUCCAGCUCCAAUAGCGUAUAUUAAAGUUGUUGCAGUUAAAAAGCUCGUAGUUGGAUCUCGGGUCCAGGCUCGCGGUCCGCCUCGCGGCGGUUACUGCCCGUCCUGACCUACCUCCCGGUGUUCCCUUGGUGCUCUUGACUGAGUGUCUCGGGUGGCCGGAACGUUUACUUUGAAAAAAUUAGAGUGUUCAAAGCAGGCAGCUCGCCUGAAUAAUGGUGCAUGGAAUAAUGGAAUAGGACCUCGGUUCUAUUUUGUUGGCCUUCGGAACUUGAGGUAAUGAUUAAGAGGGACGGACGGGGGCAUCCGUAUUACGGUGUUAAAGGUGAAAUUCUUGGAUCGCCGUAAGACGAACAACUGCGAAAGCAUUUGCCAAGAAUGUUUUCAUUAAUCAAAAACGAA
Molecule: ribosomal RNA, 439 nt
Filed under: Nuculana pernula
Lineage: Eukaryota; Metazoa; Mollusca; Bivalvia; Nuculanida sp.; Nuculanidae
Description: SSU rRNA
Rfam family: Eukaryotic small subunit ribosomal RNA
Source: RNAcentral